This 231-nucleotide ribosomal RNA is filed under the name uncultured bacterium. RNAcentral's name for it is "partial 16S ribosomal RNA". It matches the Rfam family "Bacterial small subunit ribosomal RNA", at positions 99 to 334 of the family's 1533-position model. The record is from RNAcentral.
CGGACGGGUGAGUAAUGUCUGGGAAACUGCCUGAUGGAGGGGGAUAACUACUGGAAACGGUAGCUAAUACCGCAUAACGUCGCAAGACCAAAGGGGGGACCUUAGGGCCUCUUGCCAUCGGAUGUGCCCAGAUGGGAUUAGCUAGUAGGUGGGGUAACGGCUCACCUAGGCGACGAUCCCUAGCUGGUCUGAGAGGAUGACCAGCCACACUGGAACUGAGACACGGUCCAG